GUUGAAGACUUGUUUUUCUCCUACAGCAAUCCUGAUGUGGGCAGCUCUGGGGUUUUUGACAUGGAGUUUAGCUACCUCUGGCUCUAGAUGACCUUCAUUUAGAUGUUUCUGAAGCUUUGCCACCUUUGUUUCCAUCCUUAUGAUUAUGGCUUUUGUGAAGUGCAGUGUCCCCUAGGCGUUUCACAUGUGCAUUCUUUUCUGGUGGUUGGAUCACAGAAACAAUGUAAGAAAAUGGGAAAUGGCUCAUCUCCUUUCAAGGAAUUUCACAACCUUGUGAGGCAACAAAAGUUUUUUUGGCAAGCUGCUUUUGAAGUGGAGUUGAGGGG
Neopsephotus bourkii (Bourke's parrot) is the source of this 326-nucleotide long non-coding RNA. RefSeq lists it as uncharacterized. The record is from RefSeq and is a predicted model, not a curated record. Lineage: Eukaryota; Metazoa; Chordata; Aves; Psittaciformes; Psittacidae. The transcript is spliced from 3 exons.